AUGGCUGGGACCCCACUCCUCCUCCUCACCCUCCUGCUUCACUGCACAGGGUCCCUCUCACAGUCGCAACCUGUGCUGACUCAGUCACCCUCUGCCUCUGCGUCCCUGGGAGCUUCAGCCAAGCUCACCUGCACCCUGAGCAGUGCUCACAGCACCUAUAGAAUUGAAUGGUUUCAGCAGAGAGCAGAGAAAAGCCCCCGGUUCGUGAUGGCAGUGGGCAGCAGUGGCAUGACCGGGUCCAGAGGGGAUGGGAUCCCAGAUCGCUUCUCAGGCUCCAGCUCUGGGGCUGACCGCUACUUGACCAUCACCAACGUCCAGGCUGAGGAUGAAGCUGACUACAUUUGUGGUGUAAGUGGCACUGGUGUACAAUCCUGA
Molecule: non-coding RNA, 375 nt
Organism: Echinops telfairi (small Madagascar hedgehog)
Lineage: Eukaryota; Metazoa; Chordata; Mammalia; Afrosoricida; Tenrecidae
Source: the annotation of a RefSeq genome assembly